RNAcentral lists this ribosomal RNA (262 nucleotides) under uncultured bacterium. RNAcentral's name for it is "partial 16S ribosomal RNA". It matches the Rfam family "Bacterial small subunit ribosomal RNA", at positions 28 to 286 of the family's 1533-position model. The record is from RNAcentral.
GACGAACGCUGGCGGCGUGCUUAACACAUGCAAGUCGAGCGGUAAGGCCCUUUCGGGGGUACACGAGCGGCGAACGGGUGAGUAACACGUGGGUGACCUGCCCUUAGCUCUGGGAUAAGCCUGGGAAACGUGGGUCUAAUACCGGAUAUGACUCCAUGACGCAUGUUGGUGGGGUGGAAAGCCUUGUGCGGCUAGGGAGUCGGGCCCGCGGCCUAUCAGCUUGUUGGGUGGGGUGAUGGCCUACCAAGGCGACGACGGGUAG